RNAcentral lists this ribosomal RNA (517 nucleotides) under uncultured eukaryote. RNAcentral's name for it is "SSU rRNA". It matches the Rfam family "Eukaryotic small subunit ribosomal RNA", at positions 22 to 548 of the family's 1831-position model. The record is from RNAcentral.
AGUCAUAUGCUUGUCUCAAAGACUAAGCCAUGUAUGUCUAAGUAUAAAUGGUAUACAGUGAAACUGCGAAUGGCUCAUUAAAACAGUUAUAGUUUAUUUGGUAAUCGAAUUUACAUGGAUAACCGUGGUAAUUCUAGAGCUAAUACAUGCUGUAAAGCCCGACUUUUCGGAAGGGCCGUAUUUAUUAGAUAACAGACUAAUAUUCCUCGUGUCUAUUGUGGUGAAUCAUAGUAACUAAUCGGAUCGCAUGGGCUAGUCCCGCGACAAACCAUUCAAGUUUCUGCCCCAUCAGCUUUCGAUGGUAGUGUAUUGGACUACCAUGGCUUUUACGGGUAACGGAGGAUUAGGGUUCGAUUCCGGAGAGGGAGCCUGAGAAACGGCUACCACAUCUAAGGAAGGCAGCAGGCGCGUAAAUUACCCAAUUCUAAUUCAGAGAGGUAGUGACAAGAAAUAACGGGUCGGGGCUAUGCCCCGGGACUGCAAUGAGAUGAAUUUACACCCCUUUUCGAGUAACAAU